CGCGUAGGCGGCUUGGUCAGUCGGAUGUGAAAGCCCCGGGCUUAACCUGGGAAUUGCAUUCGAUACUGCCGAGCUCGAGUAUGGGAGAGGGAAGUGGAAUUUCCGGUGUAGCGGUGAAAUGCGUAGAUAUCGGAAGGAACACCAGUGGCGAAGGCGACUUCCUGGCCCAAUACUGACGCUGAGGUGCGAAAGCGUGGGGAGCAAACA
This 207-nucleotide ribosomal RNA is filed under the name uncultured bacterium. Its description in RNAcentral is "partial 16S ribosomal RNA". It matches the Rfam family "Bacterial small subunit ribosomal RNA", at positions 568 to 774 of the family's 1533-position model. The record is from RNAcentral.